AGCUCCAAUAGCGUAUAUUAAAGUUGUUGCAGUUAAAAAGCUCGUAGUUGGAUUUCUGGUGGGAGCGUUGGGCCGGCCUAAGGGUCUGAGCUCAAAUGUUUUCCGCCAUCCUUGGAGGGAUGUUGUCUGGCAUUAAGUUGUCGGGCUUCCGAUCUCCAUCGUUUACUGUGAAAAAAUUAGAGUGUUCAAAGCAGGCUUAU
RNAcentral lists this ribosomal RNA (200 nucleotides) under uncultured eukaryote. Its description in RNAcentral is "partial 18S ribosomal RNA". It matches the Rfam family "Eukaryotic small subunit ribosomal RNA", at positions 587 to 789 of the family's 1831-position model. The record is from RNAcentral.